RNAcentral lists this ribosomal RNA (441 nucleotides) under uncultured bacterium. Its description in RNAcentral is "partial 16S ribosomal RNA". It matches the Rfam family "Bacterial small subunit ribosomal RNA", at positions 338 to 795 of the family's 1533-position model. The record is from RNAcentral.
CCUCCUUUCUGCAGCAGUCGGGAAUAUUGCUCAAUGGAGGAAACUCUGACGCAGUGACGCCGCGUGCAGGAAGAAGGUUUUCGGAUUGUAAACUGCCUUAGACAGGGAAGAAACAAGACAGUACCUUUAAAAUAAGCUCCUGCUAACUACGUGCCAGCAGCCUCGGUAAUACGUAGGGAGCAAGCUUUAUCCGGAUUUAUUGGGGGUAAAGGGUGUGUAUACGGGAAGUCAAGUUGGUUGUGAAAUCCCUCGGCUUAACUGAGGAACUGCAACCAAAACUAACUUUCUUGAGUGAUGGAGAGGAAAGUGGAAUUCCUGGUGUAGCGGUGAAAUGCGUAGAUAGUAGGAGGAACACCAGUGGCGAAGGCGACUUUCUGGACAGUAACUGACGUUGAGGCACGAAAGUGUGGGGAGCAAACAGGAUUAGAUACCCGAGUAGUC